Molecule: non-coding RNA, 25 nt
Filed under: Cricetulus griseus (Chinese hamster)
Lineage: Eukaryota; Metazoa; Chordata; Mammalia; Rodentia; Cricetidae
Source: RNAcentral
AAGAUGAAUAUAGACUCCAUGAAAA